GACAGAGGGGGCAAGCGUUGCUCGGAAUUACUGGGCGUAAAGGGCGCGUAGGCGGGAUGGCAAGUCGGUCGUGAAAUCCCUCGGCUCAACUGAGGAUCGUCGAUCGAUACUGCCGUUCUUGAGGAUUGCAGAGGAGACUGGAAUUCCCGGUGUAGCGGUGAAAUGUGUAGAGAUCGGGAGGAACACCGGUGGCGAAGGCGGGUCUCUGGACAGUUCCUGACACUGAGACACGAAGGCCAGGGGAGCAAACGGG
RNAcentral lists this ribosomal RNA (253 nucleotides) under uncultured bacterium. RNAcentral's name for it is "partial 16S ribosomal RNA". It matches the Rfam family "Bacterial small subunit ribosomal RNA", at positions 524 to 776 of the family's 1533-position model. The record is from RNAcentral.